UCGGGUAGUGUUUGCUUGCUGCCUGUUAAGUCUGAACAUCUCAACUUGGAAUAAAAACAACACUCUUUGAUUAAUAAAAACAACCUGAAACAGUUCCCUUCAGCCAGCUUACUCUGUGUUAUGUUAAAACGUAAUGUAACAAACACGGCCUGGUGCCCUCCCCAGAACCCAAACCUUCCAUGACUAAAAAUAGCCCUUGGUCUUUCCCUGCAGCUCAAAAACAGGAACAGUAUAACUUGUUUGCCUCAUUAUGUGUUCUGCACAGGGAUCAGUCCCCUCUCACAUCCUGGCCCUCAUACAACGUGAGCACAUUCUAAUCUGCUGAUUACAAAUCCAACAGGUCCAACAAUAGGAAGUGAAUUCUACACAAACAUGGCUUCCCUGGGUCCUUAAACAAUGCACUGCUCACCCUGGAUUCCCAGCAGACCGCUGACAAGCAGGAAGGUCCGAGGACAACACAGUGAGCAGUGAUGAGGUCUAGUACCAUAGAGCCCAGGGGAUGGCAAGAAGUCUGCCCAGGAGAGUGUAAAACCACGCUUUUACUGGAAGGAUUUUCAGAAUGGCAACAUACAUGAGAUGACUGGAGAUUUCAGAAAAGAUACCCAGAAACAGCAAAAUAUGAAACAAAAAGGUCCUCUGAGAUUUGGCACCCUAAGUCAUUUACUUCUGUCCCUCAAAGAGGGCUCCGUUUUCUAGAAGCCACUUCCACACAGAACCUCAACACAGAUGCUCAUCAGAGUUUACAGAGCUGACUUCCAUGAGGAAGUUUUCUGAUCUACACUUGGACAUGAGAUUGUGACCAGGAAGCACUGUGUGGAGCAGAGGAGGCUACAAUGAGUGGUGGAAAGAAAGAGGCAGUGAGGGUCAGUGGAACCUGAGACUCAGUUUUGAGCCUUUCUGAGUGACCUGGGUCAGGUCCCUGAACUCAUUCAUUCAUUCAACAAACAUUUGAAUGUGCUAUGUGCUAGAGCAUUACCAUCAAAGAGAAAUAUAAAGUAAGUCACACGUGUGAUUUAAUUUUUUCUAGAAAUGACUUUUAAAAAGUAAAAUGAAACAGGUGACAUUAAUUUUAAUAUAUUUUAUUAAGCCCAAUAUGUUCAAAAUAUGGCCACUGCACCAUGUAAUCAAUAUAAAAAAUUAUUGGGGCACCUGGGUGGCUCAGUCUGUUAAGCUUCGGACUCUUGAUUUCGGCUCAGGUCAUGAUCUCGUGCUUUGUGAGAUCGAGCCCCAUGUCAGGCUCUGCACACCUGCUUGGGAUUCUCUCUCUCCCUCUCUCUCUGCACCUUCCCUGCUUGUGUUCUCUCUUUUCCUCUCAAAAAAAAAUAUUAAAAAUUGUUUAUGAGAUUUUUUUACGUUCUUUUUUCCAUAUCAAGUCUUCAAAAUCCCAUGUAUGUUUAACAUUUAAUGGCCUGUCUCACUGCAGAUACUAAGUUUUCAUUGGAAAUAGUCAACCUGUAUUUAGAUUUCAUAAACUUUGUAGUUGGAAAAGUAGACUCACAUACCUGAAUUGUUCCAAGCAUGCUUAGAUGUUUCCCAAUAACUGAAUUCAAUUUUAAACUUAAAUUCAUUAAAAUUUAAUAUAAUUAGAAAUUCAGUUGCUCAGUCUCAUUUGUCACAUUUCAAAUGCUUAGUCACUAUAUGUGUGGCUAGUGGCUACUGCAUUGAAAUGCAUAAUUCUAUAGUUUAGGAUGCAGACUUGCUUAAGACGUUGAACUCUGUCCUCUAGAUUUUAAUCCAGUGGGGAAUUUGGGCCAAGAAGCUAAUAAUUACAACGUAAGAAGCCUUGUUAUCUAAAGCAGUUGGGUCUAGAGAUUCAUUUUUAGCCAGUUUAGUUAGAAAGAAUGGUGAAAAGGGUACCUAACUUUAAUGUUUUUUAAACUUAAAACCUAUACAUCCCCAACGGCAAGGAAAUUAAAAGCAAAAAUGAACUAUUGGGACCUCAUGAAGAUAAAAAGCUUCUGCACAGCAAAGGAAACAACCAACAAAACUAAAAGGCAACCAACGGAAUGGGAAGAUAUUUGCAAAUGACAUAUAAGACAAAGGGCUAGUAUCCAAAAUCUAUAAAGAGCUCACCAAACUCCACACCCGAAAAACAAAUAAUCCAGUGAAGAAAUGGGCAGAAAACAUGAAUAGACACUUCUCUAAAGAAGACAUCCGGAUGGCCAACAGGCACAUGAAAAGAUGCUCAACGUCGCUCCUCAUCAGGGAAAUACAAAUCAAAACCACACUCAGAUAUCACCUCACGCCAGUCAGAGUGGCCAAAAUGAACAAAUCAGGAGACUAUAGAUGCUGGCGAGGAUGUGGAGAAACGGGAACCCUCUUGCACUGUUAGUGGGAAUGCAAACUGGUGUAGCUGCUCUGGAAAACAGUGUGGAGGUUCCUCAAAAAAUUAAAAAUAGAUCUACCCUAUGACCCAGCAAUAGCAGUGCUAGGAAUUGACCCAAGGGAUACAGGAGUGCUGAUGCAUAGGGGCACUUGUACCCCAAUGUUUAUAGCAGCACUCUCAACAAUAGCCAAAUUAUGGAAAGAGCCUAAAUGUCCAUCAACUGAUGAAUGGAUAAAGAAAUUGUGGUUUAUAUACACAAUGGAAUACUACGUGGCAAUGAGAAAAAAUGAAAUAUGGCCUUUUGUAGCAACAUGGAUGGAACUGGAGAGUGUUAUGCUAAGUGAAAUAGGUCAUACAGAGAAAGACAGAUACCAUAUGUUUUCACUCUUAUGUGGAUCCUGAGAAACUUAACAGAAGACCAUGGGUGAGGGGAAG
Long non-coding RNA from Acinonyx jubatus (cheetah), 2761 nucleotides. RefSeq lists it as uncharacterized. The record is from RefSeq and is a predicted model, not a curated record. The transcript has 3 exons. Lineage: Eukaryota; Metazoa; Chordata; Mammalia; Carnivora; Felidae.